CUAAUUUACUGUGCACACCUGUCUUGUGUAUUUCCUUCUGUGUUUUCCCUUCAGGUUGCUUGGCAUUUGUAUUAUAUUACUUUGCAUUAUGGUUACAUGAAUGAGUUAUCCUCUCUUGUAUUCUCCAUGAGCGUACAGAUGGGCUGGAACCUGCUGUGAGAUGUCCCUCUAUGAGCUGCUUCUCCUGCUCAUUAGCAUUGUGCCACAACAGUAUAACUGCUCUGCGCCAAACUACUGUAGGCAUCACCUUUUGCUUUCUCUGGAAUCAAAAGCAAAUAAGUUUGCAUCUCCCAAUGGUGUGAGUGCACUGGUCAUCACUGAACACUUUUCAGGGCAAUCCUAAGCAGGACACUUUGGGCUGCUGAUCUGAAGGGUGGUAGGAUAUGCAGUGGUGUUUAUUUCUAAAAUGGUGUUUAUUGUAUUUCCUGCAAAACAUGCAAUUUAUUGUGUGAAAACAUGAAGAAAUCAGGAAGAUUGCCUCAUCACGUUGUCCAGGACUUUCAUUUCAUUUUCCGAUGGUGUAAGACUUAGA
Molecule: long non-coding RNA, 532 nt
Organism: Tachysurus fulvidraco (yellow catfish)
Lineage: Eukaryota; Metazoa; Chordata; Actinopteri; Siluriformes; Bagridae
Exons: 5
Source: RefSeq, a predicted model, not a curated record